This 6248-nucleotide long non-coding RNA is filed under the name Chlamydomonas reinhardtii. Its description in RNAcentral is "long non-coding RNA (CREI_LNC000542)". Lineage: Eukaryota; Viridiplantae; Chlorophyta; Chlorophyceae; Chlamydomonadales; Chlamydomonadaceae. The record is from RNAcentral.
GGACAGCUUCAUCCCGCCCGCCAUCACGGCGGCCUACAACGAAUGGACCAUCCCCUACUGCGCCGAGGUGGCGCCGCCGCUGAGCGUAUGCAGCGCACUCAACGUGUCUGCCGGCAACUGCACCUGCGCGACGUUGCAGCAGCAGGGCCGCUGCGCUGACAUGGGAACCGGCGGCGUGUGGCUGGGCAACACGUCGGACGCCAACCUGCGUGCCAAUGUGGCCAAGACGCUCGGCUACUGCUCUGUGACGUGCGGUCGCUGCAGCGAGGGCCAGGAGUGGUGCCGCGACAUCCCCAUCAUGCCGCUCAGCCUGUCCAGUGAGUGGAAGGAGGGGAUGAGGACACUUGUAAGGCGUUUGCAGUUUGGCUUGCUUCGUGGUUCUAACGCUUCCCGCGGUGUGGCGCCCCUCCCAUUCCAUCUUUGCCUGCAGAGAACCAGACGUGCUCGCAGAUGGUUCCGCUGGGCCGCUGCUACGAGGUGGCGCCCAAGGGCUACUGCCACGACACGUGUGGCGUGUGCAGCGGCGCAGGGCUGCCGUGUGUGGACCUGCGCUGGACAGAUCAGUACACAUGCGCCGACCUCAAGUCUUGGGGCUCGUGCAAUGACACCUGGGUCACGGACAACAACUUUUGUCGAAAGACGUGCGGCGCGUGCACGGGCAUGCCCCGGCCACCGUCGCCGCGGCCGCCUUCGCCACGCCCGCCAUCUCCUUCGCCUCCGUCGCCACGCCCACCAUCGCCGCCCUCACCUCCCUCGCCUAGCCCGCCCUCUCCUAAGCCGCCCUCGCCACCGUCUCCUCCUUCACCCAGCCCACCGUCUCCCAAGCCGCCUACACCGCCAUCCCCCGUGCCGCCCUCGCCCAAGCCUCCCGUGCCGCCUUCUCCCGUACCACCCUCACCGAAGCCCCCUGCGCCUCCUUCGCCCUCCCCGCCAUCUCCCAAGCCGCCCGCGCCCUCUCCCCCUCCGGUCCCUCCAUCCCCAAAGCCACCGUCUCCCUCGCCGCCCACACCUCCCAAGCCGCCGUCGCCUUCCCCGCCCUCGCCGUCGAACAGCCCUUGGCGUUGCACCGGCAACACGGCCGGCAUCGCUGGGUGUGUGGACCCGGCAUCCUACCCAGCGCCUGCCUCGUCAGCCAACGCAGCGACUUGCGGCGUCCUUCCUUCGUGCACAACCAUCGGCUGCCCCCAUUGCGACGCGUCGCUCAAGCGCUGGGACUCGGCUGCGACGUGGACAAAUUACGCUAACCAGGUGCCGGUGUCAGGCGCGGACAAGGACGUAACUCUUCCGCCGGGCACCCGUGUGCUGCUUUCGGGCUGCAUGCUGAGCGGGGGCUCGCGCUUCCGCCGCAUCACCGUUCCCGAGGGCAGCCAGGUAUGCGUCUUGGCGCAUUUGUGGUAAACUGCAAAUGCGGGGACCAGGACCUUGCGCGUUGGAAGUUGGGUGGUUAGCCAACGAAACCGUGUGUGUAAGCCGAGCUUGGGCGUUGCAACCCGGGCGCCUUCCCUGCUCACUUCAAUCGUGCCGUACGCGUUUUGGUCACGCCUCACACCAUGUCCCUGCCCCGGCUUUCUGUGCGCUGUGCAGCUGGUUAUAGACGACGCGCCGCUGAACCUGACGCUGACCACGCUGCUGGUGCAAGGCAACUUCAGUAUGGGCUCCGCCAGCUGCCGCCUGCAGAGCGCCAUCUCCAUCACGUUCGCGCCCGCGGCAGGAGUGCCCACCAACAUGAUGGCGCUCAAGGUGUGCAGGGAAAGCUUCUUUGGGACGGGCCCUCAGUAGGGCAUGUGGGUCGGGAUCGCCCGUGUCCAGGUGGGCUAGGUGGCAGUGUCGCGGGCAAUCAAGGUGUUCAUGCUGGACUCUGUGGCGUAGGAGCACUGUGUGUGCACUCUCCUCUUGUACACCUGCACCAAGGGUUCCCUCCCCUGCACAGGGCAUGAACACCAGCACUGUGGACAUGCACGGCGUGCUGUUCACGCCCACUUGGACGCGGCUGACUCAGACAGCGGCCCCGGGCACUCGUUGGGUGACUGUGCGCGACGCAGUCAACUGGCGUGUGGGGCAGCUGGUGGCCGUCCCUACCAGCGUGUGGAAAGACGAGUGCCGCAACCAGAACGAGGUCAGGCAGAUCCAGAGCAUCAGCGCCGACGGCAAGAACAUCACAUUCACGACGGCGCUGCAGUUUUUGCACUACGGGUAGGUUGGCGCUAACCUUCGAGUGAUGCUGUUUGGACGGCCGGGGCCCGUUUAUGUGCAUGUGGUGCCCAUAGUGACACCACGUACCAUCGCGGUCCUGGUGCAGGGGCCCCGAGUACCAGACGGAAGUGGUGCUCCUGAGCCGCAGCAUCCUGUUGCAAGGCAGCCCCGAGUCCGCGGCCGAGCUGGCGGGCGGGCACGUGCGCAUUGAGAGCAAGGUGGGUUCGCGCGAGGGCAAGGUGACCACUUGGCGGCGGCAUGCUGGUUGGCAUUAACGUGCAGUGCGAACGCGCACUUGUAUCUUCGAGUGAACCUCCGCUCACCUGGCGGUUCCCGUGAUCUGUGACGUGCAGCGCGGGCGCAUCCGCGGCGUGCUGGGCUACCGCAUGGGCCAGCAGUUUCAGAUGGGCAGCUACCCGUUCCAUUUCCACAUGGCGGGCGAGGUGCCGUCUGACAGCUACAUGACCGACAACGCAGUGUACGCCAGCUACUGGCGAGGUGCGCUUAUGGAGGCUUCAGGAUGUGUGUACUGUGAAGGCUGUCGUUGCAGAAUGGCCAUCCCAAACUUGCCCUGAUGACUGCCUUGACCGUAUGCCUACCUCUUGCCCACGCUCGCAGCCUUCACCAUCCACGGCACGCACGCGCUGACGGUGGCCAGCAACACCGCCUUCCACGUGGCCGGCUCGGCGUUCUACAUUGAGGACGGCGCGGAGGAGCGCAACCGCAUCAGCGGCAACUUUGCCGGCUUCGUGCACCCGCUGGGCCGUGUGGACACGUGCGACGCGGUUGGCAGCGUGUUCGGCGCGCCCACCAUCUACCAGUCUGCUACACUGCUGCAGCCUGCCGACUGGGCCGCUGCUGGCUUCUACCUUAGGUGGGCGCAUGGGGCUAGGGCCGCCUGUGUAUGGUUUCUUGCCUUUGCAAUAUCUGCGUGCGUGCCAUACGCUACGACUUGGUGAUUCCCACACGGGCUUCCCAUCGUUGCAGCAACGCCUACAACUACAUCGACAACAACGCGGCCAGUGGCGGCACCAGCGGCUUCAUGUUCCUGAACCUGCCCUUGCCGAUCGGGGUGAGUGCCGGUGUGUGCCCCCUCAUUGCAUGCUGGGUGGCAUCUUUCUUUCACAAUGCUCAAUCGUGACCCGGCUGGUGACUUCGUUUCACUAUGCCGCCUGUGCGUGCCCAUAUCUGCCCAGCUGAACCGCAACGUGCCGCUGGAGCCCUACAAGCGGCCCCCGCUGAGCUUCAGCGGCAACACCGCGCACUCGUCCGGCUAUCACUGGGACAAUGCGGGUGCAAUCUACUGCGGCGGUAACCUGCAGUACGACACAGACAACGUGACGCUGAUCUACAAGAUUGAGCGGUCCACGUUUGACCCCACGUGAGUCUUUGUGAGCUGCUUACAGCUUUCCCUUUCGCCCAGCCAUUUCGGCAACAUGCGCCGUACUCUCCCUCACUUACUUACCACAGAGACACGGCCAACUCUUCGUUACCGGUCAAGUUUGUGUUGCGCAACACCAAAGUGUGGCUGGGCGGCUUCUCAGUCGCUUCCUAUGGCGACCGGUUCUUGGUGAGUCAUUACGAUGCAUGUGGCCUUUGCCCCUGUGACUGCUUGCAAGCACGUUUGCUGCUGGACCGCACAUGAACCUACGCGCUACCUACCUGCGUCUUGCUUGUGCCCGCCCCCAGGUGGACGGCUUUGAGUCGCAUGACGGCACCAUGGGCGCGGCGGUGCGCGGUGACCCCAAUGAGCUGCUCAAUGCCGACCUGAACCUCAACUCCGCCCACGCCGGCUGGCUGACUGCCAACAUCCCCAAUGAGUGAGUCUUCUGCCUGCAAUCAUAGGCCAUGCUAUGCCGCUCGUCGCAGCUACCCGGUCGAUAACGCCCGUAAGCCCCAUCGCACCCGGCUGCUCCUUUGGUUUACCACUCGCAGCCUGCAACAAGGCUACCGCUUCGGUCUGCAGUUCUACGACACGUGGAUGCGGCACCUUAUGUCCAACGUCACCAUCCGCAACGUGGUGUACAGCAGCACCGAGUGGCUCACGCAGGCGGCGCUGGUGGCAUUGACCUUUUCGGACCAGUUUAAGCCGUUCCACGUGGCCAGCAUUCGGGGCAUCCGCCUAGUGAACGUGACCAAGGCGGCCGUGUUGAGCAACCCCGUGGUCCGCACUGGGUCAUGGCGCUUCUACAACUUCCUGGGUGCGGACACGAAUGGCGGGGCACGUUCCAUUAGUUUGCUUGUGUAUGUGUAAGGAAGUUUUGUACCUUUGUUGUGCCACACGCCCGUUCUUGAUCUUGCCCGAUGCACACACUGACCUGCAGACGCGGACGGUUCCUUCACGGGCACCAAGCGCCCCACGCUGGUAGCGUCCUACUCCGCCACCAACAACACCGGGCCCUGCGAUGCCGCUGCGCCCACACCCUGCACCUCGAGCUUUAACUGGUGGCGCACGGACACGGCCUGCACGGCCACGCCGCCAAAUGUGUGAGUGCGGGGUCGGCUGGGCUAUUGGCUGUGCCGGUGACUUGGCAGUGCAGGGCAACAUAGCACGCACUGCUGACACUCAACACCACUGGCAUUGCUAUCUGUCCCUCAACCAACAAACACAUGCGCAGGCCUGCAACGUCGAACGUCCUCGCGUGUGACUGGUGGGUGGAGAAUGGACGGACCUGCUGUGUGCUUUGUGGAUGCAAACAUAGCAGCUGUUGCCUUUUAUGCUGCACAUUGACGGAUACGUACAUGGGCAUUGACCCUACCUGCUUUUACUCGCCGUGUUCGCCAGGUACCCAUGGCGCACCCAGGGGCGCCUGAGGCUGGAGGUGCCGAGCUAUGACCUCACGGUAACAACUUGAUGGUCUGCACGCCUCGCUAUGAACCUUCCACGUGGGGUGUCCCAACCAACAACGUGUUAUGCGACCUGCAUUCGCGUCACGUUUGCCUUGACUACGCUCCUGCGCAGACUGAAGAGGCUGGCUGGUUGUGGCCUUCCGUCAACAACAUCAACGUGUACGACGCCGGCGUGGUGGCGCAGUUCGGCCAGACCGGCGCCAGCCGCCGCGCCACCAUCAUCACUCGGGCCGAGGGCGUGACGGGCCUGACGGGGCGCGGCGGCUGGUACGCGCACUGGAGCCUGGGCGCACCCAAGUACGUCAAGGUGCAUUUGGAGACUGUGCCCCGCGGCACCUCCAUCAUCUUUGCUACGCGCUACCCCGCCGGCACCACCUUCAGCAUCACCCGCGUGGCCAGCUCCUGGCUGGUGCCUGACGGGCAGCUGCUGCCCGCGACCAGCCUGGCGGCGGUGCUGGGCAGCGACUCCGGCGAGUUCUACUUCUUUGACGGCAAGCUGCUGUACCUGAAGCUGGUGGACCUUUGGGAGGAGCCGUACCAGGGUCGGCUGCCGGCCCGGAGCGGCGGGCUGAUGGUGCCCGGCAGCCGCUGGGAGGAGUACUAUGAGGUGACGGCCAGCAUCCCUGGCUGCUCCACGUCGCCGUACCCCAGUCAGAACGGACAAGACUUCUCUGGGCAGUUCUGUGCCAUGAACGUGAGUCAGGAUCAGGCCAAUGAGGCCAUGCAUUGGGACUGGGAGUAGGCAUGGCAGGGGCAGCAGGGGCAGGGACUGUGUGCACGUGCCCCUUUGGAACCCAGAACGGCGCCAGCCUCACCAAACCUGCCGCUGGGCCACCCUGUGUACAUACCGUAUGACAUUCUUCCUCUCCUUGCGCUCCAGGGCACUGUGGACAGCUUCAUCCCGCCCGCCAUCACGGCGGCCUACAACGAAUGGACCAUCCCCUACUGCGCCGAGGUGGCGCCGCCGCUGAGCGUAUGCAGCGCACUCAACGUGUCUGCCGGCAACUGCACCUGCGCGACGUUGCAGCAGCAGGGCCGCUGCGCUGACAUGGGAACCGGCGGCGUGUGGCUGGGCAACACGUCGGACGCCAACCUGCGUGCCAAUGUGGCCAAGACGCUCGGCUACUGCUCUGUGACGUGCGGUCGCUGCAGCGAGGGCCAGGAGUGGUGCCGCGACAUCCCCAUCAUGCCGCUCAGCCUGUCCA